CCUACGGGUGGCAGCAGUGAGGAAUCUUCGUCAAUGGACGAAAGCCUGAACCAGCCAAGUAGCGUGAGGGAUGACUGCCCUACGUGUUAUAAACUUCUUUUAUAAAGGAAUAAAGAACGGCACGUACUCCUUGUUGUCUGUCCUUUUUUAAUAAGGAUCCGCUAACUCCGUGCCAGCCGCCGAGGUAGUACGGAGGAUGCGAGCGUUCUCCGGAUUUAUUGGGUUGACAGGGAGCGGAGGUGGGUUGUUAAGUCAGUUGUGAAAGUUUGCGGCUCAACCGGCGAAUGGCAAUUGAUACUGGGAGACUUGAGUACAGUGGAGGAAGGCGGAAUUCGUGGUGUAGCGGUGAAAUGCUUAGAUAUAACGAAGAACUCCGAUGGCGAAGGCAGCUUACUAGACUGCCACUGACAUUGAGGCUCGAAAGUGUGGGUAUCAAACAGGAUUAGAUACCCUAGUAGUC
RNAcentral lists this ribosomal RNA (460 nucleotides) under uncultured bacterium. Its description in RNAcentral is "partial 16S ribosomal RNA". It matches the Rfam family "Bacterial small subunit ribosomal RNA", at positions 338 to 795 of the family's 1533-position model. The record is from RNAcentral.